GCUCUCGUGGCCCAGUUGGCUAGAGCGUCGUACUUAUAAGCAGUACCUGAGUAUAUGCGAAGGUCGAGGGUUCGAUCCCCUCCGAGAGCA
RNAcentral lists this transfer RNA (90 nucleotides) under Paramuricea clavata. It matches the Rfam family "tRNA". From Rfam's summary of the family: Transfer RNA (tRNA) molecules are approximately 80 nucleotides in length. Lineage: Eukaryota; Metazoa; Cnidaria; Anthozoa; Malacalcyonacea; Plexauridae. The record is from Rfam by way of RNAcentral.